GUGGGGAAUAUUGCACAAUGGGGGAAACCCUGAUGCAGCAACGCCGCGUGAGUGAUGACGGCCUUCGGGUUGUAAAGCUCUGUCUUCAGGGACGAUAAUGACGGUACCUGAGGAGGAAGCCACGGCUAACUACGUGCCAGCAGCCGCGGUAAUACGUAGGUGGCGAGCGUUGUCCGGAUUUACUGGGCGUAAAGGGAGCGUAGGCGGAUUUUUAAGUGAGAUGUGAAAUACUCGGGCUUAACCUGAGUGCUGCAUUUCAAACUGGAAGUCUAGAGUGCAGGAGAGGAGAAGGGAAUUCCUAGUGUAGCGGUGAAAUGCGUAGAGAUUAGGAAGAACACCAGUGGCGAAGGCGCUUCUCUGGACUGUAACUGACGCUGAGGCUCGAAAGCGUGGGGAGCAAACAGGAUUAGAAACCCUAGUAGUCCC
Molecule: ribosomal RNA, 426 nt
Filed under: uncultured bacterium
Lineage: Bacteria
Description: bacterial SSU rRNA
Rfam family: Bacterial small subunit ribosomal RNA
Source: RNAcentral